RNAcentral lists this ribosomal RNA (253 nucleotides) under uncultured bacterium. RNAcentral describes it as "partial 16S ribosomal RNA". It matches the Rfam family "Bacterial small subunit ribosomal RNA", at positions 524 to 776 of the family's 1533-position model. The record is from RNAcentral.
CACGUAGGGGGCGAGCGUUGUCCGGAUUUAUUGGGCGUAAAGAGCUCGUAGGCGGCUCGGUAAGUCGGGUGUGAAAUCCCCGGGCUUAACCUGGGAAUUGCGCUUGAAACUAGCGGGCUUGAGUGCGGCAGAGGGGGGUGGAAUUCCACGUGUAGCAGUGAAAUGCGUAGAGAUGUGGAGGAACACCGAUGGCGAAGGCAGCCCCCUGGGUCGACACUGACGCUCAUGCACGAAAGCGUGGGGAGCAAACAGG